This 74-nucleotide transfer RNA is filed under the name Acidobacteriota bacterium. Its description in RNAcentral is "Acidobacteria bacterium tRNA-Phe". The record is from RNAcentral. Lineage: Bacteria; Pseudomonadati; Acidobacteriota.
GGGCGUGUAGCUCAGUUGGGAGAGCCCUGCUGAAAAAGCAGAUGGUCAGUUUGGAUCGCUUCUCGCGCAAACCA